UUAAAAAGCUCGUAGUUGGAUUUCUGUAGUGGGAUGCCGGCCGGGUUCUCUGAACUUGUUAGCUAGGUUAUCUUGCUGCAUCUUGUCGUAAUUCUUACUGGCAUUAAUUUGUUGGUACGGAGGACCGACUCGUUUACUUUGAGAAAAUUAGAGUGUUUAAAGCAGGCUAUAGCUUUGAAUAUGUUAGCAUGGAAUAAUAAUAUAGGACUUUACGUUCUAUUUUGUUGGUUGUUCGAGGACGUAAGUAAUGAUUGAUAGGGACAGUUGGGGGCAUCAGUAUUCUGAAGCGAGAGGUGAAAUUCUUGGACCUUCGGAAGACUAACAACUGCGAAAGCAUUUGCCUAGGAUGUUCUCUUUAAUCAAGAACGAAGGUUGGGGGAUCGAAGACGAUCAGAUACCGUCGUAGUCUCAACUAUAAACUAUGCCAACUAGGGAUGGGUCAAUGUUUAAUUACGACUUGAUCCGCACCUUAAGAGAAAUCAAAGUAUUUGGGUUCCGGGGGGAGUAUGGUCGCAAGGCUGA
Molecule: ribosomal RNA, 522 nt
Filed under: uncultured marine eukaryote
Lineage: Eukaryota
Description: bacterial SSU rRNA
Rfam family: Eukaryotic small subunit ribosomal RNA
Source: RNAcentral